GAUGAACGCUGGCGGCGUGCCUAAUACAUGCAAGUCGAGCGAACAGACGAGGAGCUUGCUCCUCUGACGUUAGCGGCGGACGGGUGAGUAACACGUGGAUAACCUACCUAUAAGACUGGGAUAACUUCGGGAAACCGGAGCUAAUACCGGAUAAUAUAUUGAACCGCAUGGUUCAAUAGUGAAAGACGGUUUUGCUGUCACUUAUAGAUGGAUCCGCGCCGCAUUAGCUAGUUGGUAAGGUAACGGCUUACCAAGGCAACGAUGCGUAGCCGACCUGAGAGGGGGGUCCGCCAACACGGAAACUGGGACAGGUCCAAAACCCUAAGGGAAGGAAGAGGUGGGAAACUUCCGGAAUGGGCGGAAGCCUGAAGGAGCAACCGCGCGGUGGGGAAGAAAGUCCUCGGAUCGGAAAACCCUGUUAUUUGGGAAAAAACAAUGUGGAAGUAACUAUGCACGUCUUGACGGUACCUAAUCAGAAAGCCACGGCUAACUACGUG
This 497-nucleotide ribosomal RNA is filed under the name uncultured bacterium. Its description in RNAcentral is "partial 16S ribosomal RNA". It matches the Rfam family "Bacterial small subunit ribosomal RNA", at positions 28 to 507 of the family's 1533-position model. The record is from RNAcentral.